AGCUCCAGUAGCGUAUAUUAAAGUUGUUGCAGCUAAAAAGCUCGUAGUUGGAUCUCGGGUCGUUGGUAGGGGUUCAGGUUCAUGCCUGCUUACUCCUGUCAAUACCUAACUGGUGGGACGCUGUGGGUGCCCUUGAUUGGGUCGCCUACUGCACCCGCUCAAUUUACUUUGAAAAAAUUAGAGUGUUCAAGGCAGGCUCACACGCCUGUAUAAUGGUGCAUGGAAUAAUGGAAUAGGAUCUCGGUUCUAUUUUGUUGGUUUUCGGAACUAGAGAUAAUGAUUAAGAGGGACAGACGGGGGCAUUCGUAUUGCGGUGUUAGAGGUGAAAUUCUUGGACCGUCUGAAGACUAACUACUGCGAAAGCAUUUGCCAAGAGUGUUUUCAUUAAUCAAGAACGAAA
This 400-nucleotide ribosomal RNA is filed under the name phytoplankton environmental sample. Its description in RNAcentral is "partial small subunit ribosomal RNA". It matches the Rfam family "Eukaryotic small subunit ribosomal RNA", at positions 587 to 988 of the family's 1831-position model. The record is from RNAcentral.